RNAcentral lists this ribosomal RNA (920 nucleotides) under uncultured bacterium. RNAcentral describes it as "bacterial SSU rRNA". It matches the Rfam family "Bacterial small subunit ribosomal RNA", at positions 8 to 912 of the family's 1533-position model. The record is from RNAcentral.
AGAGUUUGAUCCUGGCUCAGAACAAACGCUGGCGGCGCGUUUUAAGCAUGCAAGUCGGACGGCAAGAGCUGUAGCAAUAUGGCUCCUAGAGUGGCGAACGGGUGAGUAACACGUAGGUGAUCUGCCCUUGGAUGGGGGAUAGUCCGUGGAAACACGGGGUAAUACCGCAUGAGGCCUUGUGGGUAGAGCCAUGAGGUGAAAGGUGCAAUUGCACCGUCUGGGGAUGAGCCUGCGGUCCAUUAGGUAGUUGGCGGGGUAAGGGCCCACCAAGCCUGCGAUGGAUAGCCGGCCUGAGAGGGUGUACGGCCACACUGGAACUGAGACACGGUCCAGACUCCUACGGGAGGCAGCAGCUAAGAAUCUUCCGCAAUGGGGGAAACCCUGACGGAGCGACGCCGCGUGGACGAUGGAGGCCGUAAGGUUGUAAAGUCCUUUUCCUGGUGAAGAAUGACCGUGGGAGUGGAAAGCCCAUGGGAUGACGUUAGCCAGGGAAUAAGCCCCGGCCAAUUACGUGCCAGCAGCCGCGGUAAUACGUAUGGGGCAAGCGUUGUUCGGAGUUAUUGGGCGUAAAGGGCGUGUAGGCGGCUCAUCAAGUCUGGUGUGAAAAUGCAGGGCCUAACUCUGCAGAUGCGCUGGAAACUGGUGGGCUUGAGUUCCUGAGGGGAAGCUGGAAUUCCAGGUGUAGGGGUGAAAUCUGUAGAUAUCUGGAAGAACACCGGUGGCGAAGGCGAGCUUCUAUCAGAGGACUGACGCUGAGGCGCGAAAGCGUGGGGAGCAAACAGGAUUAGAUACUCCUGAUAGUCCACGCUGUAAACGAUGUGCACUAGGCGUGGGGCACGUCCGUGCUCUGUGCCGAAGCUAACGUGAUAAGUGCACCGCCUGGGGGAGUAUGCUCGCAAGGGUGAAACUCAAAGGAAUUG